UCCUGACAGGUGUGCUUGAAAAGCUCUUCUUCGAACAUGUGUGCGAAGACCAUUACGAAGAAGUAUCGAAUUCCGUAAACAGAAAAAAAAGAAAAGAAAAGCGAGUCUAGAAAUGCAUUAAAGAAAAUCGGAAAAAGUUACACAAAAACAAAAACGUAAUUCCAUCCGUAGAGUCCAUCAAUUAAAGGAGAAGUUAGAAGAAAAAAAGUGUUUAAAAAAUAUGUCUGGCCACGUGUUUUACUAAAAGCGUGAUGCAUUGCCAUCAGGUUGACUGCUUUCCCUUUGUAAAAAGAGCGUGGAUGACUGAAGUAAUGUUUGAUAUGAGCGACAGAGGGUGAAAUUAUCGCUUGUAAUACGAUCGGGUCAGGACAGUUGCUGUAAUGACGACAAAGACUCGUCGCUUGAUAUCCAUUGUUAUAUAGAGAGGGUGUAAUUUCUAGCAUGAAAAAUUACACGGGAUGACAGCGCCAUCACUAUCAUUAAAGUUAACAAGAGGGAAAAUUUACAUUAUCUGGUCGGAAACAAAUCUUCACAAAUUGUACCUUUUACAAAACAGUGGAUAAUCGGGUAUCUACUUUCCACUCUAAAGCAUUGUCUCGUAUUAAAAAACCAUUGAUAGAGAGAAAUCUAUGAAGAUGGGAGGCGAUGAGAAAACAUACACUUCGUGUUUUCUUCAUCAAUUAUCUUAAGAAAUACCGACGAGUUGUAACUAUUUGCACUUCUUUUUUUUUAUUGUUAUUAUCGAAUAUAUGUAGACCAUACACGUGUUUUCUUGCCACUUCUUUUUUUCUAUUUGCCUUGUUGAUGUCAAAAAUUAUUCUCUGGGUGUUAGUUUUUCGUGAGAAAUUAUAUCGAAACAGAUGGAAAACUUGUCAAGAAUCUCUUUUUACCCCCCAAAAGUAAUUGAAUUCUUGUAUUGUAAUGGUUCCGAAUCGAUGUUAUUCAGGGCGUGGUGUGAUAAACAAAUUGCUAUACAUUCUUGUAUCGAUCUCGAAUAUUUUUUUAAUAGUUUAAUGAUCGAAAUCUCUGGCAGUGAGACUGAAGCAACCUGC
Molecule: long non-coding RNA, 1052 nt
Filed under: Androctonus crassicauda
Lineage: Eukaryota; Metazoa; Arthropoda; Arachnida; Scorpiones; Buthidae
Source: RNAcentral